This 420-nucleotide ribosomal RNA is filed under the name bacterium. Its description in RNAcentral is "partial 16S ribosomal RNA". It matches the Rfam family "Bacterial small subunit ribosomal RNA", at positions 355 to 776 of the family's 1533-position model. The record is from RNAcentral. RNAcentral also lists the same sequence under 1 other name.
UGGGGGAUAUUGCACAAUGGGCGAAAGCCUGAUGCAGCGACGCCGCGUGGGGGAUGAAGGCUUUCGGGUUGUAAACCUCUUUCGCUAUCGAACAAGGCCCGCUUAGGGUGGGUUGAGGGUAGGUGGAGAAGAAGCGCCGGCUAACUACGUGCCAGCAGCCGCGGUAAUACGUAGGGCGAGAGCGUUGUCCGGAAUUAUUGGGCGUAAAGGGCUUGUAGGCGGCUUGUUGCGCCUGCUGUGAAAACGCGGGGCUUAACUUCGCGCGUGCAGUGGGUACGGGCAGGCUUGAGUGUGGUAGGGGUGACUGGAAUUCCAGGUGUAGCGGUGGAAUGCGCAGAUAUCUGGAGGAACACCGAUGGCGAAGGCAGGUCACUGGGCCAUUACUGACGCUGAGGAGCGAAAGCAUGGGUAGCGAACAGG